Molecule: long non-coding RNA, 289 nt
Filed under: Physcomitrium patens
Lineage: Eukaryota; Viridiplantae; Streptophyta; Bryopsida; Funariales; Funariaceae
Description: long non-coding RNA (PPAT_LNC007731)
Source: RNAcentral
UAAUCCACUCUUUUUAAGAAAAAAAUCAAUGUUAAAAAAAUGAAUGUUGUUCAAGGUAAAUAGUUUGCAAUCUUUGAAAUACAACAAUAGAAGUAGGAUAAUAUAAUUAUUUUUAAAAAUAAGACAAAAAUAAUGAAUUGGAGAUUUUGUUAAUAUAUCAUGGAUAAGAAUUCAAAGAAGACAUAUAAAAAAUAAAAAAUAAAUUAAAAAUAGAUAACAAAUUAAAAAUAAGAAAGUAAAUAUAUUUAAUAAAAAACUAAAAUGACUAUUGCCAAAGGCUAAAAAACUA